RNAcentral lists this long non-coding RNA (394 nucleotides) under Nicotiana benthamiana. Its description in RNAcentral is "long non-coding RNA (NBEN_LNC027192)". Lineage: Eukaryota; Viridiplantae; Streptophyta; Magnoliopsida; Solanales; Solanaceae. The record is from RNAcentral.
UAUAAGUACCCCCCAUCCUCUUUGCAUAACACAACAACACACAUUACAAUCUCUCUAACUCUCUUUCAAUAACACUCAGUGCUAAAUAUUUCUCUAUUGUUUCUCUACAAACUCUCUCACUCAAUCGGCUGAAAGCUAAGAUUGAGUAAUCUUGGCUAUUUAUUUCUAUACUACUAGGGUUCUACUGCAUUGGUUACUUGGGUUUUUGCCUGUUGUUUGCUUCUCUGCACUGCUGUUCUCACGUUGUUGCCCUCAUUCUCUGCUCACUCUGCUCAUCUUGUGUAUUGUUACUGCUUUGUGUUCUAUUUUCCUGAAACUGGUAUAUUACUUAUCUAAUAUAUAGUCUCCAAAACAAUAUGUUUUGUUAGUCCUGCACUUCAUCUUGUUCCUUGUG